GAUGAACGCUAGCGGGAGGCUUAACACAUGCAAGUCGAGGGGCAGCAUAGGGUAGCAAUACUCUGAUGGCGACCGGCAAACGGGUGAGUAACGCGUAUGUAACCUACCCUGUACAGGGGGAUAACCCGGAGAAAUUCGGACUAAUAUCCCAUAACAAUAUCCGGGGGGCAUCUUUGGAUAUUUAAAGUUCCGGCGGUACGGGAUGGGCAUGCGUAACAUUAGCUAGUUGGUAAGGUAACGGCUUACCAAGGCUUUGAUGUUUAGGGGUCCUGAGAGGGUGGUCCCCACACUGGUACUGAGACACGGACCAGACUCCUACGGGAGGCAGCAGUGAGGAAUAUUGGUCAAUGGGCGCAAGCCUGAACCAGCCAUCCCGCGUGAAGGAAGAAUGCGCUACGCGUUGUAAACUUCUUUUCCAGGGGGAGAAGUAAUCCUGUCGUGACAGGACUUGACGGUACUCUGGGAAUAAGCAUCGGCUAACUCCGUG
This 487-nucleotide ribosomal RNA is filed under the name uncultured bacterium. RNAcentral describes it as "bacterial SSU rRNA". It matches the Rfam family "Bacterial small subunit ribosomal RNA", at positions 28 to 507 of the family's 1533-position model. The record is from RNAcentral.